RNAcentral lists this ribosomal RNA (442 nucleotides) under uncultured bacterium. RNAcentral describes it as "partial 16S ribosomal RNA". It matches the Rfam family "Bacterial small subunit ribosomal RNA", at positions 338 to 795 of the family's 1533-position model. The record is from RNAcentral.
CCUACGGGAGGCAGCAGUGGGGGAUAUUGGACAAUGGGGGGAACCCUGAUCCAGCGACGCCGCGUGAGUGAAGAAGUAUCUCGGUAUGUAAAGCUCUAUCAGCAGGGAAGAAGAAAUGACGGUACCUGAGUAAGAAGCCCCGGCUAACUACGUGCCAGCAGCCGCGGGAAUACGUAGGGGGCAAGCGUUAUCCGGACUUACUGGGUGUAAAGGGAGCGUAGACGGUGAUGUAAGUCUGGAGUGAAAGGCGGGGGCCCAACCUCCGGACUGCCUUGGAAACUGUAUGGCUGGAGUGCAGGAGAGGUAAGUGGAAUUCCUAGUGGAGCGGUGAAAUGCGUAGAUAUUAGGAGGAACACCAGUGGCGAAGGCGGCUUACUGGACUGUAACUGACGUUGAGGCUCGAAAGCGUGGGGAGCAAACAGGAUUAGAUACCCCAGUAGUC